RNAcentral lists this ribosomal RNA (422 nucleotides) under uncultured archaeon. RNAcentral's name for it is "partial 16S ribosomal RNA". It matches the Rfam family "Archaeal small subunit ribosomal RNA", at positions 323 to 746 of the family's 1478-position model. The record is from RNAcentral.
CUACGGGACGCUGCAGGCGAGAAAACUUUGCAAUGUGCGAAAGCACGACAAGGUUAAUCCGAGUGGUUUGUGCUAAACGAACCUUUUGACAGUCCUAGAAACACUGUUGAAUAAGGGGUGGGCAAGUUCUGGUGUCAGCCGCCGCGGUAAAACCAGCACCUCAAGUGGUCAGGAUGAUUAUUGGGCCUAAAGCAUCCGUAGCCGGCUCUGUAAGUUUUCGGUUAAAUCCGUACGCUCAACGUACAGGCUGCCGGGAAUACUGCAGAGCUAGGGAGUGGGAGAGGUAGACGGUACUCGGUAGGAAGGGGUAAAAUCCUUUGAUCUAUUGAUGACCACCUGUGGCGAAGGCGGUCUACCAGAACACGUCCGACGGUGAGGGAUGAAAGCUGGGGGAGCAAACCGGAUUAGAUACCCCAGUAGUC